Coffea arabica (coffee) is the source of this 645-nucleotide non-coding RNA. The record is from RefSeq and is a predicted model, not a curated record. NCBI's taxonomy places the organism in Eukaryota, Viridiplantae, Streptophyta, Magnoliopsida, Gentianales, Rubiaceae.
AAGCUGCUGAGAGAUUAUAAGAGACUGCAGCAUGGAGAUAAUAGAAUGCUCUGAAAUGCUGUGAUAUUCUUUUCCUGAUGAUAUGCCUUUGAACAAAGGAAGAGAGAAAAUUUGGAGCAGAGCUGGACAGCUGACUGAUUCUUUUCAACGUCUGCAUAUGUUUGCAGUAUCUCAUCCUCAGUUUCUAGGCCUGUUUAAGUGUCAUUUGCCAAUUUGAAGGCCUUUAUGCUCCCUUUCUUGAAAUAGAUUUUCAUAGCUCUAGUCUUACUAUGGUUGAUAGGAUUGUUUAUUACAUAUGGCUUGCUUUACUGCUUUCUGGUGUACCUCGAAAACAAAUUUCCUGUUGUAGUUGGCCUUAUAGACGGACUUUUGGUAUAGACAUCUGCAAGUGACAUGAUGAGAAAAUAUUGAACCAUGAAUACUGCUGUAUCCCCUGUACUGUCAUGCUGACCUGCUAUGGCCAGUUGGCAUAGAAGAUUUAGUGGAAAAGAGUGUAUUUUAAGGGCUUCUUUAGCUCAUUUGAAUCUACUUUGAUUCAGGGGAGAAAGGAAUGUUUAGAUGUGGCUAUUGCUUGCAUGAAUUUGUUAAUCAGCUUAGGGAUAUUUUGGUUACCUGGUUAAUAUCAUGCUAAAAGAUUCUUUCGGA